This 196-nucleotide unclassified non-coding RNA is filed under the name Borreliella garinii. RNAcentral describes it as "partial miscellaneous RNA". The record is from RNAcentral. Lineage: Bacteria; Pseudomonadati; Spirochaetota; Spirochaetia; Spirochaetales; Borreliaceae.
UUAUUUUAUACUUUAACAUUGAUUUUAUUUUUUAUGUUUUUAGAUGUUCAUGUUUUUCAAUGUUUUAUUCAAAUAAUAUAAAAAAUAAAAUAUAUAUUGACAUGGAUUAAACAAAGAUAUAUAUUAUUCUAUGUUGUAUAAACAAAUUGGCAAAAUAGAGAUGGAAGAUAAAAAUAUGGUCAAAGUAAUAAGAGUC